This is an RNA transcript of Paramacrobiotus metropolitanus, 1550 nucleotides long. RefSeq lists it as uncharacterized. The transcript has 7 exons. The record is from RefSeq and is a predicted model, not a curated record. Lineage: Eukaryota; Metazoa; Tardigrada; Eutardigrada; Parachela; Macrobiotidae.
CCGUCACAAAAACAAACAACAAGAAAAACAAAACCUGCAUAAAAAACACGACGGCAAAGAAGUAGCGCUACAAGCUAAAGGCGGAUUAUUAUUUUUUAGUUGGGCCGUAUAGUCGACGCCGUUGUUGAGCUAUUGCCAGUAUUAUUUCCCUGGUGAUUUUUACGUUGAACCAUUUAUCGUUACAAGUGUGGAAAACCAUGCUGACCGCUACUAACCUGAAAAGCAACGCCCUGAUGCUCGUCCUGGCUGCUGUGGUAUGGCUGCAGUUGUGCCAGUCGGCCGCCGGUCAAGGCACCGCGGCCAUUCUGCCUGGCACCAUCGGCUGCCCGCAGAAAUUCUGUCUGCGCUGCAUCACUCCCCUGGAAGCGGCCAGCCAAGGCCCGUGUCCCUGCCCCAUCUGUCCCAUCGGCGGCGGCGGCACGAACCCCUGCGCUGCCGUCCUUUGUCUAGCCUGUAUGCCGGCACAGCCCGUGGACGCCGUGGCCGCCGGGAAGACCUCCGUCGUGCCCAUUGGCAGCGACUGCUGUCCGAAAUGCGGAUGACCUUUAUCCCGACCACUCUAUCGCUCCUCCCCGUCUGUCGGACCGUUGGACUCGGGGAACAGCGACUCCGUUCGAAAGCUACCGUAGACGGAAGGCGAUUAAACUGAUCAUACACUGUUUUCCCGUUUUCUUGUAUAAUACUUCAUACACUGUUCGCUGUCGGUUAUGCACGAGGCCGGCGUUGUUUGUUGGAUGGCGUUUUCCGUGAAAACAAUACCAGUGCCUUGGGCCAUCUUAAUGUCGGCAGUAAAGCCAUCAUGUACGGCACAAUAUUUAUUGUACUUGAACUCUUGCUGUUAUAAAGAGCCGCUCUUUCUUCACGAAAGCCACCGGAAACGAAUGUUAUUAGAGAGUUAUACGUUGAAUUAUACUCCUCCAAUUGGACAUGGCGACUAGUUGUUAUCUGUGUGCGGUCAUUUUCUUACUGGUCAGCGCGGGAAAUCGCUUGCCGGUUGAUGCACUGCUGAUAUGAACAUGGAGAUGUACGUUUGUACGUCGACAGGACUGCCCACCGUACUGUGUCCCGGACCGGUGCUCAACUGUUUCACCUGCGUCCCGCCCUCCCAGUACACCGGGCCCUGUGGAUGUCCCAUGUGCGCCGUAGAUCCCAAUCCCUGUCUGGGCAUCAUGUGCCCCGAUAACUGCGUGCUGCCGAUCAGCUCCCUCUCCGCAUCCGGAUUAUCCAGCGCGGCGCAGAUUGCCCAGCCCCCGGCCCCGAGCAGCUGCUGCCCCAAGUGCGGAUAACGGUCACCGAUCUUAUCCGGAACAAUCCCGGCAUCUUCCCGUUAAUUCUAUCCCGGAAAUUUUUAACAGACGUGCCAAUCAGUUUCUCCCGCUGUUUUCCGGCGGAAAUGGUGUGAUUCCGGGUGAAGAAACGUCGCUAACUGUGUGCUUGUUGUGUUAUGAAUGUUCCUAUAGUCAUUCUGGCAACGGAGCUGUUUUGUUUUGUUGACAGCCAACGCCGUGCCGUGUUUUCCGCGAAAACAAUAAACGUGUCGGCGAAUGUGG